Molecule: RNA transcript, 1865 nt
Organism: Symphalangus syndactylus (siamang)
Lineage: Eukaryota; Metazoa; Chordata; Mammalia; Primates; Hylobatidae
Gene: GLRX3
Gene name: glutaredoxin 3
Source: RefSeq, a predicted model, not a curated record
CCACAUCCGGCCGCCGGCACUGGAUUGCUCCUGUCUGGCGGCGGCAGCAUGGCGGCGGGGGCGGCUGAGGCAGCUGUAGCGGCCCUGGAGGAGGUCGGCUCAGCCGGGCAGUUUGAGGAGCUGCUGCGCCUCAAAGCCAAGUCUCUCCUUGUGGUCCAUUUCUGGGCACCAUGGGCUCCACAGUGUGCACAGAUGAACGAAGUUAUGGCAGAGUUAGCUAAAGAACUCCCUCAAGUUUCAUUUGUGAAGUUGGAAGCUGAAGGUGUUCCUGAAGUAUCUGAAAAAUAUGAAAUUAGCUCUGUUCCCACUUUUCUGUUUUUCAAGAAUUCUCAGAAAAUCGACCGAUUAGAUGGUGCACAUGCCCCAGAGUUGACCAAAAAAGUUCAGCGACAUGCAUCUAGUGGCUCCUUCCCACCCAGCGCUAAUGAACAUCUUAAAGAAGAUCUCAACCUUCGCUUGAAGAAGUUGACUCAUGCUGCCCCCUGCAUGCUGUUUAUGAAAGGAACUCCUCAAGAACCACGCUGUGGUUUCAGCAAGCAGAUGGUGGAAAUUCUUCACAAACAUAAUAUUCAGUUUAGCAGUUUUGACAUCUUCUCAGAUGAAGAGGUUCGACAGGGACUCAAAGCCUAUUCCAAUUGGCCUACCUAUCCUCAGCUCUACGUUUCUGGAGAGCUCAUAGGAGGACUUGAUAUAAUUAAGGAGCUAGAAGCAUCUGAAGAACUAGAUACAAUUUGUCCCAAAGCUCCCAAAUUAGAGGAAAGGCUCAAAGUGCUGACAAAUAAAGCUUCUGUGAUGCUCUUUAUGAAAGGAAACAAACAGGAAGCAAAAUGUGGAUUCAGCAAACAAAUUCUGGAAAUAUUAAAUAGUACUGGUGUUGAAUAUGAAACAUUCGAUAUAUUGGAGGAUGAAGAAGUUCGGCAAGGAUUAAAAGCUUACUCAAAUUGGCCAACAUACCCUCAGCUGUAUGUGAAAGGGGAGCUGGUGGGAGGAUUGGAUAUUGUGAAGGAACUGAAAGAAAAUGGUGAAUUGCUGCCUAUACUGAGAGGAGAAAAUUAAUAAAUCUUAAACUUGGUGCCCAACUAUUACGGGGUCUGGCUCUGUCACCCAGGCUGGAGUGCAGUGGCACGAUUAUGGCUCACUGCAGCCUCGACUUCUUGGGGCCAAGCGAUCCUCCUGCCUCAGCCUUCUGAGUAGCUGGGACCACAGGCGUGCACCACCAUGCCCACCUAAUUUUUUUUAUUUCUUGUAGAGAUGAGGUCUCCUGCCUCAGCCUCCCAAAGUGCUGGAAUUUACAGACAGGGUCUCCUCUGUCACCCAGGCUGGAGUGCAGUGGUGCAAUCAUGGCUCACAGCAUCCUUCCUCCCAGGCUCAAGAUCCUCCCCCCUCAGCCUCCUCAGUAGCUGAGAUGACAGGCAUGUGCCACCAUGCCUGGCUGUGUUUUGAUUUUUUUUUGUAGAGAUGAAGUCUCACUGUGUUGCCCAGGCUGGUCUCAAUCUCCUGGGCUCAAGUGAUCCUCCCACCUCAGCCUCCCAAAGUGUUGGGAUUACAGGCCUGAGCCACCAUGCCUGACCUAAGAUCAGUUUUCUUAAAUUUGACAGUUGCUACUUUUCAAAAUUCAAACCUUUCUAAAUAAAAGUAAGUUGAUUAUUUGCAGAUGAAUUCUUGUUUUAUACACAUUUCAGAUGUUGACUUUGAGGACCUAGACCCUUCCCUUUUUGUCUAGUCGCAUUUCCUUCCUCAUGGCCGUCCACCAAUGAUUGAAUCAGCGUCAACAUGAACAGUUUCUCUUGCGGCUUUGGCUCUUCUUUUCUGAAGGCUCCUGUGUCACAUAGACUUAAAUAAAUCUUAUGCUUUUCUCUUGUUAA